Molecule: non-coding RNA, 45 nt
Organism: Planctomycetes bacterium RBG_16_64_12
Lineage: Bacteria; Pseudomonadati; Planctomycetota
Source: Rfam
CCCAGGGCGUUGCCCUGGGCUGUCAUAUUUCGCCCCUUCGGGGCU